ACCGGCUGCUAGCUCUCUACAAUUCUCCUAUUAAGCAGGGCUGCACCCGGCCAGUACCUGGAUGGGAGACCACAUGGGAAAGCUAGGUUGUUGCCGAAA
This 99-nucleotide ribosomal RNA is filed under the name Danio rerio (zebrafish). The record is from RNAcentral. Lineage: Eukaryota; Metazoa; Chordata; Actinopteri; Cypriniformes; Danionidae.